This is a long non-coding RNA of Hevea brasiliensis (rubber tree), 1479 nucleotides long. RefSeq lists it as uncharacterized. The record is from RefSeq and is a predicted model, not a curated record. The transcript is spliced from 5 exons. NCBI's taxonomy places the organism in Eukaryota, Viridiplantae, Streptophyta, Magnoliopsida, Malpighiales, Euphorbiaceae.
AGAAAAGAGAACAAAAGGAAAAUAGGCCGAUCUGUUUAGCCUAUGUACUCGGCAUAUAUUAUGAUUCAAAUAGUUUGGGCCUUCUGGGCCCAUGAUUAAUCCUCGGCCGAAGAGGGGAAAUAAGGGAAGAAAGGAAGGAGCCUUCGGUUGAUUUUUAGACACAGGCACAGAGGGAGAAGAGAUGAAGUACCGGUGUAAAGUGUGGAUUUGGAAUCAAAAAACUAUUGCUGCAAUACUCGCCGGGAAACAUUCGACUCGCGAAACAAGAGAACUGCAAAGCUGUCGCAAACGAGUACAUAGAAUGUGAAUUAAUGGUUUAUUUAAUACCCUUUUGGUUGCUAUUGUACUUUAAUUGCUCUCUGUCUCUCUGUGCCUUGGCCCAGUGAAAUUUUUUAUAUAUUUUUUUGCUUGAAUUUUGUAUAUUAUUCUGAUUGAUUUAGUUCUGCACAAGCCAAAAGCGUAUAGACAUCUUCUCUAUAAUGUGCUUCAAGAAACUGUGAAAUUAAAGCUUAGUGUGCUGAGCUGCCUCAAUCUUUUCCUUCAAACAUGAAUAAUCUGUUGUUUCCAUCAAGGCUCUCCAUUGUAGGGAAACUAUUCUGCUUCUUUCCAUUAGACAAUCUGUCGUGUUUCUUUGAUGGUCCAUCUUCACAUUGAUGCUUUCCUUGGGGGAUUCCUGAGGCAGAACAAGGGCAGUAACAGGCUUCCUAGCUUUUUUCGCCUGCAGACAGAAAUCAAGUAGAGGUUAAUUUUUAUUGCUGGACGAGUGCAUUUCAAGUGCUCUAUGUGAAUCUCAAGUUUCUCACCUUAUGUUCGGAUGCGCCUGACAAUUUGCCCUGAAUUAUACUUCCUUGUUUGUGAGUCCUCGUAGGGACAGGAACCUCUUUGCUGACAACUCUAACAGAUAUGUCUUCAUGGCUAUCUAUGGUUGAAUCUGCUGAGGGAGAGGAAAUAUCCAUUUGUAGUAUACGAUUCUUUUCAGUUCCAUUCUGGUCAAAUGUUGAAGAAGGCACAGUUUCAGUAAUUGUUUGAACCGUUUGCAUCUGCCGGUAAUGCCCAUUGUUCAAGUUGGAAGCUCCAAAUUGCGAAGACUGUAAUAAAGAUAUGAGUAGAAAUAUUUUCAGGUACUCUUCACCGCUGUGUUCAUCAGGUACAACAAUAAAGGAAUCUGCCAUCUCAUUGGGAUCUUCCUCCAUCUCCGGCAACCUAUCAGAGUCAUUGUCGAAGAAGGGCAUUAGAUCAUCAAUGGAUAUGCCUUCAUCCAUGUGGAAUUGGGGAUGCUCUGGGGAGGGAUUGUUGAAAUUUGGCUCACAAGUACUAGCAAGCAAAGAUUCCAGAAGUAGCUCCGAUUCGACCUGGAGAAAACAAUGAUAGAGAAGCAAUUGCAUUAGUCCUGGACAUAUAUCUAAUUUGAUAACUGGUAAUAAAAUGCUGUAUAUUUGAACUAGAUAUACAUUAAAGAAAUUAGGCACUCUUCUCUCA